CAGUAGCCGCGGUAAUACGAAGGGGGCUAGCGUUGUUCGGAUUUACUGGGCGUAAAGGGCGCGUAGGCGGACUGAUAAGUCAGGGGUGAAAUCCCAAGGCUCAACCUUGGAACUGCCUUUGAUACUGUUUGUCUUGAGUUCGAGAGAGGUAAGUGGAACUGCGAGUAUAGAGGUGAAAUUCGUAGAUAUUCGCAAGAACACCAGUGGCGAAGGCGGCUUACUGGCUCGAAACUGAUGCUGAGGCGCGAAAGCGUGGGGAGCAAACAGGAUUAGAUACCCCCGUAGUCCCUGUCUCUUAUAC
RNAcentral lists this ribosomal RNA (301 nucleotides) under uncultured bacterium. RNAcentral's name for it is "partial 16S ribosomal RNA". It matches the Rfam family "Bacterial small subunit ribosomal RNA", at positions 509 to 807 of the family's 1533-position model. The record is from RNAcentral.